UACGGAGGGUGCAAGCGUUGUUCGGAAUUAUUGGGCGUAAAGCGCGUGUAGGUGGAUUGCUAAGUCUGGUGUGAAAUCCCUCGGCUCAACUGAGGACGUGCAUCGGAUACUGGCAACCUUGAGUCCUGGAGAGGAUAGCGGAAUUCCCAGUGUAGAGGUGAAAUUCGUAGAUAUUGGGAGGAACACCGGUGGCGAAGGCGGCUAUCUGGACAGUGACUGACACUGAGACGCGAAAGCACGGGUAGCAAACAGG
RNAcentral lists this ribosomal RNA (253 nucleotides) under uncultured bacterium. Its description in RNAcentral is "partial 16S ribosomal RNA". It matches the Rfam family "Bacterial small subunit ribosomal RNA", at positions 524 to 776 of the family's 1533-position model. The record is from RNAcentral.